CGGACGGGUGAGUAACGCGUGGGUAACCUGCCUCAUACAGGGGGAUAACAGUUAGAGAUGACUGCUAAUACCGCAUAAGACCACAGCACCGCAUGGUGCGGGGGUAAAAACUCCGGUGGUAUGAGAUGGACCCGCGUCUGAUUAGCUGGUUGGUAAGGUAACGGCUUACCAAGGCGACGAUCAGUAGCCGACCUGAGAGGGUGACCGGCCACAUUGGGACUGAGACACGGCCCAA
RNAcentral lists this ribosomal RNA (235 nucleotides) under uncultured bacterium. Its description in RNAcentral is "partial 16S ribosomal RNA". It matches the Rfam family "Bacterial small subunit ribosomal RNA", at positions 99 to 334 of the family's 1533-position model. The record is from RNAcentral.